GACGAACGCUGGCGGCGUGCUUAACACAUGCAAGUCGAACGGAGUGGAGAACGGGGGAGUAACACGUGGGUGACCUGCGAGGCACUUCGGGAUAAGCCUGGGCAACAGGGUCUAAUAACGGAGAGAGGUGGAUGGGCCCGGGGCCAAUCAGCUUGCUGGUGGGGUAAUGGCCUACCAAGGAGGCGACGGGUAGCCGGCCUGGGAGGGGGGACGGCCACAUUGGGCCUGCGGCACGUCCCAGACUCCUACGGGAGGCAGCAGUGGGGAAUAUUGCACAAUGUGCGGACGCCUGAUGCAGCGACGCCGCGUGUGGGAUGACGGCCUUCGGGUUGUAAACUCCUUUCACCAUCGACGCGUUAGAUGGAGAAGAAGCACCGGCUAACUACGUGCCAGCCGCCGCGGUAAUAC
Molecule: ribosomal RNA, 408 nt
Filed under: uncultured bacterium
Lineage: Bacteria
Description: partial 16S ribosomal RNA
Rfam family: Bacterial small subunit ribosomal RNA
Source: RNAcentral